This 274-nucleotide ribosomal RNA is filed under the name uncultured bacterium. Its description in RNAcentral is "partial 16S ribosomal RNA". It matches the Rfam family "Bacterial small subunit ribosomal RNA", at positions 523 to 796 of the family's 1533-position model. The record is from RNAcentral.
AUACGGAGGGAGCAAGCGUUAUUCGGAAUCACUGGGCGUAAAGGACGCGUAGGCGAGUUUGUAAGUCAGGUGUGAAAUCCUACAGCUCAACUGUAGAACUGCACUUGAAACUACAGACCUAGAGUAUGGAAGGGGCAGAUGGAAUUAGUGGUGUAGGGGUAAAAUCCGUAGAUAUCACUAGGAAUACCGAAAGCGAAGGCGAUCUGCUGGGACAUUACUGACGCUGAGGCGUGAAAGCGUGGGGAGCAAACAGGAUUAGAUACCCCGGUAGUCC